RNAcentral lists this ribosomal RNA (253 nucleotides) under uncultured bacterium. RNAcentral's name for it is "partial 16S ribosomal RNA". It matches the Rfam family "Bacterial small subunit ribosomal RNA", at positions 524 to 776 of the family's 1533-position model. The record is from RNAcentral.
UACGGGGGGGGCAAGCGUUGUUCGGAAUUACUGGGCGUAAAGGGCUCGUAGGCGGCCAACUAAGUCAGACGUGAAAUCCCCAGGCUCAACCUGGGAACUGCGUCUGAUACUGGAUGGCUUGAAUCCGGGAGAGGGAUGCAGAAUUCCAGGUGUAGCGGUGAAAUGCGUAGAUAUCUGGAGGAAUACCGGUGGCGAAGGCGACACGCUGGGCCGUACCUGACGCUAAAACGCGACAGCAUGGGGAGCGAACGGG